Molecule: ribosomal RNA, 1152 nt
Filed under: Leuconostoc carnosum
Lineage: Bacteria; Bacillati; Bacillota; Bacilli; Lactobacillales; Lactobacillaceae
Description: bacterial SSU rRNA
Rfam family: Bacterial small subunit ribosomal RNA
Source: RNAcentral
CACAUUGGGACUGAGACACGGCCCAAACUCCUACGGGAGGCUGCAGUAGGGAAUCUUCCACAAUGGGCGAAAGCCUGAUGGAGCAACGCCGCGUGUGUGAUGAAGGCUUUCGGGUCGUAAAGCACUGUUGUAUGGGAAGAAAAGUUAAGGUAGGGAAUGACCUUAGCCUGACGGUACCAUACCAGAAAGGGACGGCUAAAUACGUGCCAGCAGCCGCGGUAAUACGUAUGUCCCGAGCGUUAUCCGGAUUUAUUGGGCGUAAAGCGAGCGCAGACGGUUGGUUAAGUCUGAUGUGAAAGCCCGGAGCUCAACUCCGGAAAGGCAUUGGAAACUGGUUAACUUGAGUGCAGUAGAGGUAAGUGGAACUCCAUGUGUAGCGGUGGAAUGCGUAGAUAUAUGGAAGAACACCAGCGGCGAAGGCGGCUUACUGGACUGUAACUGACGUUGAGGCUCGAAAGUGUGGGUAGCAAACAGGAUUAGAUACCCUGGUAGUCCACACCGUAAACGAUGAACACUAGGUGUUAGGAGGUUUCCGCCUCUUAGUGCCGAAGCUAACGCAUUAAGUGUUCCGCCUGGGGAGUACGACCGCAAGGUUGAAACUCAAAGGAAUUGACGGGGACCCGCACAAGCGGUGGAGCAUGUGGUUUAAUUCGAAGCAACGCGAAGAACCUUACCAGGUCUUGACAUCCUUUGAAGCUUUUAGAAAUAGAAGUGUUCUCUUCGGAGACAAAGUGACAGGUGGUGCAUGGUCGUCGUCAGCUCGUGUCGUGAGAUGUUGGGUUAAGUCCCGCAACGAGCGCAACCCUUAUUGUUAGUUGCCAGCAUUCAGAUGGGCACUCUAGCGAGACUGCCGGUGACAAACCGGAGGAAGGCGGGGACGACGUCAGAUCAUCAUGCCCCUUAUGACCUGGGCUACACACGUGCUACAAUGGCGUAUACAACGAGUUGCCAACCUGCGAAGGUGAGCUAAUCUCUUAAAGUACGUCUCAGUUCGGACUGCAGUCUGCAACUCGACUGCACGAAGUCGGAAUCGCUAGUAAUCGCGGAUCAGCACGCCGCGGUGAAUACGUUCCCGGGUCUUGUACACACCGCCCGUCACACCAUGGAAGUUUGUAAUGCCCAAAGCCGGUGGCCUAACCGUAAGGAGGAACC